RNAcentral lists this ribosomal RNA (429 nucleotides) under Pseudomonadota bacterium. RNAcentral describes it as "Proteobacteria bacterium partial 16S ribosomal RNA". It matches the Rfam family "Bacterial small subunit ribosomal RNA", at positions 355 to 776 of the family's 1533-position model. Lineage: Bacteria; Pseudomonadati; Pseudomonadota. The record is from RNAcentral.
UGGGGAAUAUUGGACAAUGGGCGAAAGCCUGAUCCAGCCAUGCCGCGUGUGUGAAGAAGGUCUUCGGAUUGUAAAGCACUUUAAGUUGGGAGGAAGGGCAGUAAGCGAAUACCUUGCUGUUUUGACGUUACCGACAGAAUAAGCACCGGCUACCUCUGUGCCAGCAGCCGCGGUAAUACAGCGGGUGCAAGCGUUAAUCGGAAUUACUGGGCGUAAAGCGCGCGUAGGUGGUUCGUUAAGUUGAAUGUGAAAGCCCCGGGCUCAACCUGGGAACUGCAUCCAAAACUGGCGAGCUGGAGUAGGGCAGAGGGUGGUGGAAUUUCCUGUGUAGCGGUGAAGUGCGUAGAUAUAGGAAGGAACACCAGUGGCGAAGGCGACCACCUGGGCUCAUACUGACACUGAGGUGCGAAAGCGUGGGGAGCAAACAGG